Cajanus cajan (pigeon pea) is the source of this 712-nucleotide non-coding RNA. Lineage: Eukaryota; Viridiplantae; Streptophyta; Magnoliopsida; Fabales; Fabaceae. The record is from RefSeq and is a predicted model, not a curated record.
GCUAUUCCAGAAAGAAAAAAAUGCAUUAUAAACUAAUAAACUGUUUUCUCUCUCAUUAUGUUUUCGUCAAUUGUUCAAUCGUUUCAAAUUAUUACUAAAUUUAUGUCUUCUAUAUUAAACAUGCAGACAAAAAGAUAAAGUUGUGGCUUUUUCUUUUGGGGCGUCAUUCAUCAGUUGUUGAGACUGCUCAGCCAGCAGCAUCUGGAUUAAGAGUUGUUGCUUCUGGGCUUUGGUUGGCUCCUGGGGAUUCAGAAGAGGUUGCAGCUGCUCUAUCUCAGGCUUUGAGGAAUCGUAUAGAAAGAGCUUUGCAUGGGCUUUAUUACAUGAGAUUUGGAGAUGUAUUUUCAAAGUUUCAUCAAUUUCAAAGAGAAGAACUAUUCAGAAGAGGACAGCCUGCAGUUGAGUUUGUCUUUGCUGCGACCGAGGAGGCAAUCUUCAUACAUGUCAUAGUGUCCUCAAAGCAUAUCCGGAUGCUUUCCACGGGUGAUUUGGAAAAAGUAUUAAGACAUUCUACAGAGUCAGCCUAUGGACUUCCAGGUUGUUCAAAUUUAUUUCUCAGUUUCUCAGAUUUACUAUUCAUAGAUGUGCUAUCUAUCCCAUCUUUGCUGGUGCUAAAAUAUUUUGGUUAUGCUGGCUUUUGUUUGGUGUGUAAUGAUGGAGAGCAAUGCUAGGAUUUCCAAGGAUUGGUUGAUGAGGAUUGCUGUCCUUUGGG